AGAUUGAACGCUGGCGGCAGGCCUAACACAUGCAAGUCGAGCGGCAGCACGGGUACUUGUACCUGGUGGCGAGCGGCGGACGGGUGAGUAAUGCCUAGGAAUCUGCCUGGUAGUGGGGGAUAACGCUCGGAAACGGACGCUAAUACCGCAUACGUCCUACGGGAGAAAGCAGGGGACCUUCGGGCCUUGCGCUAUCAGAUGAGCCUAGGUCGGAUUAGCUAGUUGGUGAGGUAAUGGCUCACCAAGGCGACGAUCCGUAACUGGUCUGAGAGGAUGAUCAGUCACACUGGAACUGAGACACGGGUCCAGACUCCUACGGGAGCAGCAGUGGGGAAUAUUGACAAUGGGACAAAGCCUGAUCCAGCCA
This 367-nucleotide ribosomal RNA is filed under the name uncultured soil bacterium. RNAcentral's name for it is "bacterial SSU rRNA". It matches the Rfam family "Bacterial small subunit ribosomal RNA", at positions 26 to 394 of the family's 1533-position model. The record is from RNAcentral.